CUGAGCUUCACAGGUUCCUGAAAGGGGAACCCUCUAUCCUGGGCACUGUCCAGAUAAUGAUCGGAAUCGUCACGUUUCUGUUUGGCAUCGUUGGUGUGUUUAGUCCAACUCUGUCCAUUAUCGGUGGGAUCCCCUUCUGGGGAGGGACAAUUUACAUCACAGCCGGUUCUCUGACAGUGAGGGCUU
Long non-coding RNA from Engraulis encrasicolus (European anchovy), 186 nucleotides. RefSeq lists it as uncharacterized. The transcript has 3 exons. Lineage: Eukaryota; Metazoa; Chordata; Actinopteri; Clupeiformes; Engraulidae. The record is from RefSeq and is a predicted model, not a curated record.